GACAACGUCCAUACCACGUUGAAUACACCGGUUCUCGUCCGAUCACCGAAGUUAAGCAACAUCGGGCGCGGUCAGUACUUGGAUGGGUGACCGCCUGGGAACACCGCGUGACGUUGGCU
RNAcentral lists this ribosomal RNA (119 nucleotides) under Helicoverpa zea (corn earworm). Lineage: Eukaryota; Metazoa; Arthropoda; Insecta; Lepidoptera; Noctuidae. The record is from RNAcentral.